RNAcentral lists this signal recognition particle RNA (264 nucleotides) under Tigheibacillus jepli. Its description in RNAcentral is "signal recognition particle sRNA large type". It matches the Rfam family "Bacterial large signal recognition particle RNA". From Rfam's summary of the family: The signal recognition particle (SRP) is a universally conserved ribonucleoprotein involved in the co-translational targeting of proteins to membranes. The record is from RNAcentral. Lineage: Bacteria; Bacillati; Bacillota; Bacilli; Caryophanales; Bacillaceae.
UCGUGCUAGGUGGGGAGGUAGCGGUGCCCUGAACUCGCAAUCCGCUAUAGCGAGGCUGAAUUCCCAUUCGAGGUGUCCGUUCUUAUGGUCUGCCUUACGGGAUUGGUGCUGACGUUUAGGUCCUGCGCAACAGAAACCCAUGAACCCUGUCAGGUCCGGAAGGAAGCAGCAGUAAGUGGUCAUUUCUGUGUGCCGCAGGGUCACCUAAAUUGAGCCAUGAACGUAAGUAACGCAUAGGACCGUACAUCGACAAUGGGUGCACGG